UUUACUUUUCUUCUUCUGAUUUUCUGUCUCCCUAAUUCAUGAGUUCUUCUCUCAUUCUCUACCCUAACGAUUUCAAUUGUAAAACAUAUUCUCCUCAUGUUCUUCUCUAUUCUCUAUCCUGAGUGAAAGAAUCGCCGAGGGAUGAUGUUCCAUAUGUUGAUGCGCGGUGGUGGAAAGCGACCCUUGAUUUUUUCCAUAACUAUAGGGUUCAGAGGAAGCGAAAUUGAAUGAACUAGCGGAAUCGAGGAAAGAAGGGCAAUUGAAAUCACUUACUGGACGCAUGGGGGAAGCUUCUUUCUUAGUCCUCGCAGAGACGGAUUGAAGGGGGGCUGGGCUGGGCUG
This is a long non-coding RNA of Olea europaea var. sylvestris, 342 nucleotides long. RefSeq lists it as uncharacterized. The transcript has 3 exons. NCBI's taxonomy places the organism in Eukaryota, Viridiplantae, Streptophyta, Magnoliopsida, Lamiales, Oleaceae. The record is from RefSeq and is a predicted model, not a curated record.